AUUAGGUUGGUGCAAAAGUAAUCGCAGUUUUUUACAUUACUUUCAAAGGCAAAAACCGUGAUUACUUUUGGAUCAACCUAAUAG
RNAcentral lists this microRNA precursor (84 nucleotides) under Chlorocebus sabaeus (green monkey). Its description in RNAcentral is "microRNA 548f-1 (ENSCSAG00000025652.1)". The record is from RNAcentral. Lineage: Eukaryota; Metazoa; Chordata; Mammalia; Primates; Cercopithecidae.